Molecule: transfer RNA, 72 nt
Filed under: Ovis aries (sheep)
Lineage: Eukaryota; Metazoa; Chordata; Mammalia; Artiodactyla; Bovidae
Rfam family: tRNA
About the family: Transfer RNA (tRNA) molecules are approximately 80 nucleotides in length. Their secondary structure includes four short double-helical elements and three loops (D, anti-codon, and T loops). Further hydrogen bonds mediate the characteristic L-shaped molecular structure. tRNAs have two regions of fundamental functional importance: the anti-codon, which is responsible for specific mRNA codon recognition, and the 3' end, to which the tRNAs corresponding amino acid is attached (by aminoacyl-tRNA synthetases). tRNAs cope with the degeneracy of the genetic code in two manners: having more than one tRNA (with a specific anti-codon) for a particular amino acid; and 'wobble' base-pairing, i.e. permitting non-standard base-pairing at the 3rd anti-codon position.
Source: Rfam by way of RNAcentral
UCCCUGGUGGUCCAGUGGUUAAGAAUCUGCCUUGAAAAGCAGGGGGCACAGGUUCAAUCCCUGGUCAGGGAA